This 253-nucleotide ribosomal RNA is filed under the name uncultured bacterium. RNAcentral describes it as "partial 16S ribosomal RNA". It matches the Rfam family "Bacterial small subunit ribosomal RNA", at positions 524 to 776 of the family's 1533-position model. The record is from RNAcentral.
UACGUAGGGUGCAGGCGUUAAUCGGAAUUACUGGGCGUAAAGCGUGCGCAGGCGGUUCGCUGUGUCCGAUGUGAAAGCCCCGGGCUCAACCUGGGAAUGGCAUGGGAAACUGGCGGGCUGGAGUGUGGCAGAGGGGGGUGGAAUUCCGCGUGUAGCAGUGAAAUGCGUAGAGAUGCGGAGGAACACCGAUGGCGAAGGCAGCCCCCUGGGCCAACACUGACGCUCAGGCACGAAAGCGUGGGGAGCAAACAGG